This 4732-nucleotide long non-coding RNA is filed under the name Capsicum annuum. RNAcentral's name for it is "long non-coding RNA (CANN_LNC007992)". Lineage: Eukaryota; Viridiplantae; Streptophyta; Magnoliopsida; Solanales; Solanaceae. The record is from RNAcentral.
UAUUUUCCAUAGUUUUGAAGAAUUGAUUGAGUGAAACUCAAAUUGUAUUUUCUUUCCUUAGUGUAGGGCUUGGAAAAUUCAUUGUAAUGUAGGUCUUGGAAAAGACAUUGAAACUAGGGUUAGCUUGAGUGUGGAUUCACUUGAGUUGACAUUUUGACAAAAAAGGUAGGUGCUUAAGGAGUUGAUCCCUUUGUGUCCGCCUAAGAGUGUGGUGUUAUCCUCCAUUGGUGUUGUAUGUCUUGGUGUUUGAUACACACCUUGGUGCUAUUCAUUGGUGUAGGGGUGUGUCUCACUAUCUAUCCUUCACAUUUAGGCAAUUUUCUCUUCUUUUGGUUUGAAUCCGUGUGUUCUCUUCUUCAUCUACUCUUCUCUAGUUGUUGAAUUUUGAUUUCUUAGGAGUAAUUUCAUGUUUAGUAGUUUAUUUUCUUAUCAUUUGGUAUCAGAGCCAUGUAUUAGAGUUGUUCCUACAACUCUAAGCCUUGGAUCUAAGAAAAUCUCAACAAAAAAAGAGUCUAGAGUCAAAAAAAAAUGCAAAAUAAGUGUUGAAUCUUGUGUGUUUGAUAGCCAAAUUUCUUAGCCUAGAUCUACCAAUUUUUAGAUUGUUUUGAUAGUUUCUAGUGUUAGAUUCUUGUUUUCUAGCACUUAAAGGGUCUAGAUCUAAGUUUAGAACAAGAUUUGGUUGUGUUUGAGCUAGAUCCACCAUUGUUGUGCCUUGUUUGAAGCUUUUAAAGGUGGGAUUUCGUGGCGAAUACCUUGUUUGUGGCGUGUUGUGGCUGAUCUGUUGAUAUUUUAACUUGUCUUGGCUAAAGGAACCUAGAUCUAAAAGAAAAUUUGAAUUUGGGGUUCAUUUGCCUAGUGGUCAAACCUUGGUCAACUCUUGAAUAUUCAUCUUGUUCAUCCAUCAUCUUCAAAUCUUGUUGAAGAAGAAUAUUCAAGUAGCUUGUUUGAUCCAAAAAGGGAGAAGAAAAAGAGUGUACUAAGUAAGUGUUUGCACAAGAAUAUUCCCUAGCAUAUUCUAAGUCUUCCAAAAAGGAAGAGGGGACAAGGGGACAAACAAGUACAAUUGAAAGUACACUUGAGGGGACCAAUCCAUUUUGAAUUUAUUUAAAGAUCCAAAAAGGCUUCAAACCUUCAAUUCCCCCCCUAAAACCGAAAUUUCUUCUUCUCCUAUGUGUGUUUGGCCGAAACAAGUGAAUUGGGAAUUGAAAAUUUUGAAAAGUGACGUCCAAUCACAAGCUGGCACAUCAUCGCUUAUAUAAACAACCAAAUUAAGUCUUAAAUUAGAUUUCUAAGUUUCCAUUUGUUGUUUCUAGUUGCUUUUGUGUUGAUUCUACCACUAAUUACCAAACUAGUAACUACCUACUAGGUUGAUAAUUAGUGUAGAGUUUUUUGUUUGGUGUCUACGUUUCUUUUGUGCUUUUAUCGUUUGUAAUUCAUUGUAACUUAUUGGUUCAAGUCCAUAAGCAAUUUUCUUUGAGUCAUAUCAAACGAAAAUCCAUUCCGGGCCAAAGUAGAAUCAUCCCUCACUCACUUGCCAAGUACAUGCCAAAGUUUUAACACUUCAGAGACCACGUGUGAGGUAAGAAUCCGAGAGUGAGAGAGUUGGUGAGGAUAUUUGAACUAACUUGUUUGUUCGUUUUGUAGGUUUCUUUCUUUCUUUUAGGUACCAUGGAUGCCAAUAAUUUUAAUGCCACGUUUGAUCGCAUCAAUGACCAUUGUGAUAGCUUCAUUGUCCAUGCUGAAAAUUGCAUACAAACCAUUGAAAAGAUAUGCCAAAUGCUUAGUGCACUAAAUCCCAAUUUCAGGAAAAGAGAUAAAGAGGUGAAACAAGGGAGAAGACUUGACAAACUCCCUAUUGAUGCGAGCUUGUCAAAGGAGAAAUUGGGCUGCCAUGAUCCUAACCAAGGCAAAGAAGAAUGUGCUCAAGAACUUAAAAGGUAAAAUAGCUAACUCUUACACUUUUGUGCAUGUGAACGAUGAUUGUGUGGCUAGUAGCCUAUUGAGCGUGAGUGGUAGCUUAUCUAUUUGUGAGUCUAUUGUUUCUUUGCCUCUUGAUGAUGAUGUACAUGUUGUGAGUGUGGAUACACUAGCUGAUCCUAUUGAUGACCGAAUUGACUCUUUUUGUAAGAUCAAUUUAAGUCCACCUAGUGUUGAAGCCAAUGUGAUGAAUGAAAGUACAUCAUCUAUUGAUUCUGUGCCUAUUGUUGAUGAUGUACAUGUUGUGAGAGUGGAUACACUAGUUGAUCCUAUUGAUGACCGAAUUGAAUCUUCUUGUAAGAUUGAUUUACGUCCACUUAGUGUUGAAGCCAUUGUGUUAAAUGAACGUACAUCGUCUCGUGAAACUUGUGUUGAUCAACUCGUGUGUGAAAAUUGCCCACCACUUGAGGUUAUGUGUGUUGUAAUUAAUAGAACUCAAGUGAGUGAAGAAUUUAAUAAUGUUGGUCAACAAAAUGGGAGCGAACCCGAGAGUUAUUCUCGAAACAAUCUUGUUCUUGACACCGCUUUGAAACUUGAUAUUGAUCUUUUAGAGAGUGAAGAACUCACGCGUUUCGAAUCUGCCCGUGGAUUAGAUCAUGCUCUCUUUUGGAAUAAUGUCUUCUUUGAAAAUGAUAUAAACACUCCUAAUGAGCCUAGUGGUGAAAAGGAUGGUAUAGCUUACUUUGGAGGCUAUAGCCUAUAUGCUAACCCACUAUGGUGUGACAACAUUCCUCCUAAAGAUGAAACUCUCUUCUUGAAAAAUGAGAGCACUCUUAAAGAUAAGGAAUGUGUAGUCUUGGAAAGGAAUAACCAAUUAGGUGAUGAAUGCUUUGAUUUGCUUGAAUAUUUAAGAAACCCAAUAGGCGGAUUUUCCUUGAAAAAUGAUUGCAAAUGUGAUCCUUUGUAUGACACUUCACCUUUGUUUGAUAAUUAUGAGGGUGAAUUGCUUGUUUUUUGUAAAGACUUAAGCACUAAUCCCUUUGAUUUUUAUGGUGGUAUGUGUCUACUUGAGGGAUCUUCCAUAAAAGGAGAAAGUGUCCAUUGCUUGGAAAUUACUUCUUCUACUAUGUGUGACCUUAUUGUUGAGAGUACUUAUGGCGAUGAUGUUGAAACUAGUGGUGAGUACAUACACGAAGACACCUUAGUAGAAGUUGACUUGAGUGAUACCUUUCUCUACUCUCUACUUGCUUUUGAUGAUAUGUAUGCUAUUGUAGAGAGUAUGUCGUGUAGUUUGGGUGAAGCCUACGGGAAAGGAGAGUGUUGUCUAGACCCGUGUCUAUGGCCACUCUUCCCAUUUGACCUCGGUGCCAAAUAUAGAAUUGAUGAUGUUGGCGCACCCAACUUGUUUCUUAGUUUACAUGACAAGCAAAGUAUCACUUUUGGUGAAUCCCAUAACCAAAUCCUUCGUUCAUCUUUCAUUGAAAUUUUAAUAUUUAAUUCAAAUGAUCCUUGGUUAUAUUGCAAAUAUGUGCAACCUUGGCAUGUUGAGAUGAUUUGUUGUGCUAACCCUAACCCUCAUGCCAUGAGGAGUUUGUAUUUUUUGUCCUCUCUUCGGUUUUGCAAGAUUUGGAUUCGAGGUCGAAUCCUUUUCAAGAAAGGGAGGAUGAUACAAAUCAAAUGGCCGACUUAGCUUUUGAUGACUUCUUUGGAGGCCAACACCUAAAGGCUCAAGACUUGGUUACCCUGAGGGAACAAGAAUAUGCAAGGAAGGCCCGUUUUGAGCAAGACAUAAAGCAAUCCCGUGCGUGGAAGGUUGCUUGGAUGCUUGCCUUGAUGCUAACCCAAGGACCAUAAGCCUUGAAGAAUGAACCAUACUCGAUUUUGAGAGCAUGAAAGAGGCGACAUUCAUCAAGUCCAAACACACAAGGCGCCAUUUAUGAAGAUGGAGGCUCGUGAGAGUAUAUGGCAUUCAUCCAAGGGAGUGUGUUAAUAUGUGAAGAGGGACCAUGAAUAUAAUCCAAGGCAACCUUGGAUACACUCCAAAGGCACCUCAACUUAAGGGUAUUAUGGUCUUUUAAGACGCCUCUUUUACACUCCAAAGGAGCACCCUUAAUGGGUAUUUUAGUCUUUGUUUGUAAUAAGUAUAAAUAGACAAUUAGGCUUCUAUUUUUCAUAGUUUUGAAGAAUUGAUUAAGUGAAACUCAUUGUAUUUUCUUUCCUUAGUGUAGGGCUUGGAAAAGCCAUUGUAGUGUAGGUCUUGGAAAAGACAUUGAAACUAGGGUUAGCUUGAGUGUGGAUUCACUUGAGUUGACAUUUUGGCAAGAAAGGUGGGUGCUUGAGGAGUUGAUCCCUUUGUGUCCACCUAAGAGUGUGGUGUUAUCCUCCAUUAGUAUUGUGUGUCUUGGUGUUUGAUACACACCUUGGUGCUAUUCAUUGGUGUAGGUGUAUGUCUCACUAUCUAUCCUUCACAUUUAUGCAAUUUUCUCUUUUUUUGGUUUGAAUCCGUGUGUUCUCUUCUUCAUCUACUCUUCUCUAGUUGCUGAUUUUUGGUUUCUUAGGAGUAAUUUCAUGUUUAGUAGUUUAUUUUCUAAUCACAUCACCUUUCUCGCUUCGUCUCCAUUCUUACCUUGGUGUCGUCUUUCGAAGGUGGCAUCGCCACAAAGGCAAAUGGCAACAUUGUCUUGCCUUGCCUCACCAAUCGCCAUUGGCGACAUGGUGCUCGCCAUUGAUAACACUGCUUGUUCCUAUGCCUCACGCUACCCGAGUACCACAACUUAUAUUCGUCCAUAUCCUUCAUCUUUAAACCUACCCAUUU